Molecule: long non-coding RNA, 1123 nt
Organism: Helianthus annuus (common sunflower)
Lineage: Eukaryota; Viridiplantae; Streptophyta; Magnoliopsida; Asterales; Asteraceae
Exons: 3
Source: RefSeq, a predicted model, not a curated record
ACCAUCAGAUGUCAUAUUUAUGUAUGCUUUCCGGUGUGAUGAUGUAUCUGUUGGUUAUGAGGUGAAGAAAGGAGAUACCGUACCAUAUGCAAGGGUUAAGUUUGAUGAGUUUGAACCAGAAGAUGGUUUCAUCACAUUGUUGGUUUCAUCCAGAAAGCUCCUUUAAGUUUACAGCUUUGCAGAAACACAAGCAGGACAAAGAAUUUGUUUGGCUCAAGAAUCUGCGUAUGUGCAGAUGAAGAUCUUUGCUUCUAUUUUGUUAAGUUGUUUCAUUUUCAAGCUGAUUAAAAACAAAAGUGCAAAGUACAGAAUGAUGCUUAAUCUUCACAUUGAUGGUGAUACAGAGUUGAUCCAUGAUCUAGCAUACUCGUAUUUGGUGCGACUAAACACACGGAAGUGGACUGGAAAAUGGUUCAAGCUAAAAACGGCAUAACUUUCAUUACGUUUGAAGUUAUACGGGGAUAAGUAAUGGACACAAACGCCUCAACGAGCCACAUGAAUGGACAAAUGCUAUAGGCGGGUUUUCUGACUCUCGGCACCCAAUUUCGACACCUAGAGCUCCAAUUUUGAACUCAAGGCUGUUAAUUUCAAGGAACCCUUGGAGCGGUUACAAGUUGCGUCUAGUGGCACUUGUCGUUCAUGGUCCAAGUUACAUACCUUUUAUUGGAACUUAUAACCAAUGAAGAAUUAAUGGAAUUUUGCCUCUAAUGGCGAGUUACCACUAAUGAGGAUUAUGGAAGUAGCCUAUGAUGUCAAGUUACCAUCUGAUGAAGAUUAAAGGAACUUACCACUGAAACAAGUUACCUCUAGUGAAGAUCGAUGAAGUCUCGCUAAUGAAGAAGAGAUAUUACGUGUUAGCCUAUCAUUUGACGAAGACAAUCGGUUGAGAGGAUGUUAUACGUAACUGUCACUUGUCAAUUUCGUACAUCUCAACAAGAUAACAAAAACAUGAGUCCGCAUUGAAUUUAUUAUCACUCGACCCCAUAGCUUAUUGUAUCAAGUAGUUGAGAGUGAAUUCGGUGCAUGAACUUAUGUGUGCAAACUUCAGAGGAAAUUUGCAAGUCGUAGAAUCUUGCAUAGCUAGGAUAUCGUCUUGAAUUUCAAUUGUUAUUUGUGACUAGCU